UAUGUAUCUAUUAGACCAUGGGUAUAGUCUUCAAUUAAGUGUCUGAAAAGAGCAUCAAUUGAAGUUCUGAGUCUGAGCUUGACAUGGCCCUCUCCAAGCAAAGAGCAAUAAAUGGAGUCCGAAAUAAGUCCGAAGUCGAGGCCGUAGGCGGAUCGAAUCAUAAUACAUAUAACUUUACGGUUGCAUAAGAUAUACUGGUUUUGAAAUCGUAUUCAUUUGUGAAACUAGCUGGAAGAAAGAAUUAAAUGUACGAAUGGACUUCAGAAACAGGUGCGCAACACAAUAUUUCUCCAUAGCAGCAAUCAGCACUUUCGGAUGAGCGGAAUACUAAAUUUUUCGAACAUCUCAUCGAAACCACAUACCCUUGUACUCGAAGAGGACGGAGGUGCUCGUAGACCAAGCAGCACAGAGUCAAGCACGUAGCAGGUUAGCUAGUUUUCGCUGUGAAUUUUUGUAUAUUUUUCCGCUAAUUGGCAACGGCUCACAGUCAGCGGCCUCCGUUACACCCACAACAGUUCCACCAGAGUUCCAAUGUCCGCAGAAUUUUUCUCUUGAUUUUACUUUUCAUUUUCACUUCACUUGCAGUAGGUAACAGCCGGGAAAUUUUUAAUUAUUUGCUUUGCGGUUGCCUUGAAGUUACUUUCCCUAAAACAACCCACAGAGUCGGCAGCCGCUCCAGCAGCAGGGCCAACAGGAGAUGAGACUGAUGGGUCCAUCACACACCUGCGGCGCAAUUUUCUACACUUUGCAGCAUUUUUUCUUUCAGCCCGGGCACCUUAUCAUUUAUCUGCUGUUUGGAGAGAUCAAAAGCGAACGCCAGCCAGCAAUCAAAAGGAGCCGGCUUGCUUAUCCUUCUGCCAGGUUGUCCUCCUCCUCUGCACAGGCGUCCCAUCACAGCCCCUAUACCUAUCUAAGCCGAGUCUGCAAUGUGGGUCGACGUUGACUGCCAAGCCAUGCCAUCUGCUCAAAUGAAACUAAUUUUGUUGAUUGUACAUUCGCGCUGACGGAACGAGGACCAGCAGCAACAUCAGCACCAGCAUAAGCAUUGGGAACAGCAGCAGCAAAAGCUUUAUAGCCAUCGACAGUUGAUAUAUGGUCGAGUGGGGGCGUGGCUUAGUGUCUUAGUAGCUGCUGUCAGUUUAGAGAAUUCUUUGCUAUUUUUCGUUCGUAUCUCGCUUUUCGUUUUUCGGUUGGAUGAUGGUGUGUUGUCAAGUGAGAUGUUGUAGACAAUUUAGCUGGUCAAAUUAUCUUUAA
Molecule: long non-coding RNA, 1254 nt
Organism: Drosophila pseudoobscura
Lineage: Eukaryota; Metazoa; Arthropoda; Insecta; Diptera; Drosophilidae
Exons: 3
Source: RefSeq, a predicted model, not a curated record